This 468-nucleotide ribosomal RNA is filed under the name uncultured bacterium. RNAcentral describes it as "partial 16S ribosomal RNA". It matches the Rfam family "Bacterial small subunit ribosomal RNA", at positions 28 to 507 of the family's 1533-position model. The record is from RNAcentral.
GACGAACGCUGGCGGCGUGCUUAACACAUGCAAGUCGAACGGAAAGGCCCUGCUUUUGUGGGGUGCUCGAGUGGCGAACGGGUGAGUAACACGUGAGUAACCUGCCCUUGACUUUGGGAUAACUUCAGGAAACUGGGGCUAAUACCGGAUAGGAGCUCCUGCUGCAUGGUGGGGGUUGGAAAGUUUCGGCGGUUGGGGAUGGACUCGCGGCUUAUCAGCUGGUUGGUGGGGUAGUUGCUUACCAAGGCUUUGACGGGUAGCCGGCCUGAGAGGGUGACCGGCCACAUUGGGACUGAGAUACGGCCCAGACUCCUACGGGAGGCAGCAGUGGGGAAUAUGGCACAAUGGGCGGAAGCCUGAUGCAGCAACGCCGCGUGCGGGAUGACGGCCUUCGGGUUGUAAACCGCUUUCGCCUGUGACGAAGCGUGAGUGACGGUAAUGGGUAAAGAAGCACCGGCUAACUACGUG